GCUCUAGUGGCUUAAAUUAAAGCAUCGGUCUUGUAAUCCGAAGAUUGGGGGUUAAAUUCCCCCCUAGUGCC
RNAcentral lists this transfer RNA (71 nucleotides) under Barbatula barbatula (stone loach). RNAcentral describes it as "tRNA-Thr". It matches the Rfam family "tRNA". From Rfam's summary of the family: Transfer RNA (tRNA) molecules are approximately 80 nucleotides in length. Their secondary structure includes four short double-helical elements and three loops (D, anti-codon, and T loops). Further hydrogen bonds mediate the characteristic L-shaped molecular structure. tRNAs have two regions of fundamental functional importance: the anti-codon, which is responsible for specific mRNA codon recognition, and the 3' end, to which the tRNAs corresponding amino acid is attached (by aminoacyl-tRNA synthetases). tRNAs cope with the degeneracy of the genetic code in two manners: having more than one tRNA (with a specific anti-codon) for a particular amino acid; and 'wobble' base-pairing, i.e. permitting non-standard base-pairing at the 3rd anti-codon position. Lineage: Eukaryota; Metazoa; Chordata; Actinopteri; Cypriniformes; Nemacheilidae. The record is from RNAcentral.